GGAUGAACGCUAGCGGCAGGCUUAACACAUGCAAGUCGAGGGGUAUAGUUCUUCGGAACUAGAGACCGGCGCACGGGUGCGUAACGCGUAUGCAAUCUACCUUUCACAGAGGGAUAGCCCAGAGAAAUUUGGAUUAAUACCUCAUAGCAUAGUAGUCUCGCAUGAGAUCACUAUUAAAGAUUUAUCGGUGAAAGAUGAGCAUGCGUCCCAUUAGUUAGUUGGUAAGGUAACGGCUUACCAAGACUACGAUGGGUAGGGGUCCUGAGAGGGAGAUCCCCCACACUGGUACUGAGACACGGACCAGACUCCUACGGGAGGCAGCAGUGAGGAAUAUUGGACAAUGGGCGCAAGCCUGAUCCAGCCAUGCCGCGUGCAGGAUGACGGUCCUAUGGAUUGUAAACUGCUUUUAUACAGGAAGAAACACCUCUACGUGUAGAGACUUGACGGUACUGUAAGAAUAAGGAUCGGCUAACUCCGUGCCAGCAGCCGCGGUAAUACGGAGGAUCCAAGCGUUAUCCGGAAUCAUUGGGUUUAAAGGGUCCGUAGGCGGUUUAGUAAGUCAGUGGUGAAAGCCCAUCGCUCAACGGUGGAACGGCCAUUGAUACUGCUAGACUUGAAUUAUUAGGAAGUAACUAGAAUAUGUAGUGUAGCGGUGAAAUGCUUAGAGAUUACAUGGAAUACCAAUUGCGAAGGCAGGUUACUACUAAUUGAUUGACGCUGAUGGACGAAAGCGUGGGUAGCGAACAGGAUUAGAUACCCUGGUAGUCCACGCCGUAAACGAUGGAUACUAGCUGUUGGGCGCAAGUUCAGUGGCUAAGCGAAAGUGAUAA
This 830-nucleotide ribosomal RNA is filed under the name uncultured Flavobacterium sp. RNAcentral's name for it is "bacterial SSU rRNA". It matches the Rfam family "Bacterial small subunit ribosomal RNA", at positions 27 to 863 of the family's 1533-position model. The record is from RNAcentral. Lineage: Bacteria; Pseudomonadati; Bacteroidota; Flavobacteriia; Flavobacteriales; Flavobacteriaceae.